Molecule: small nucleolar RNA, 217 nt
Organism: Pristis pectinata (smalltooth sawfish)
Lineage: Eukaryota; Metazoa; Chordata; Chondrichthyes; Rhinopristiformes; Pristidae
Product: small nucleolar RNA U3
Exons: 1
Source: RefSeq, a predicted model, not a curated record
UGUCUUUUAUUAUGAAUAAAGUUUAUUUUGUUAAAAAAUAGAGAAAUCGUGUACUAAAAAGUUCGGUCUCAGCAACCACGAGGAGGAGCUGUGGCGUUUUUACCUGAGUGCGAAGCAGUCCGCAAGCUUUGUUUUAUACAAUUGUUUGUGAGCAUUGAUGACCAUUCCCUUCUCCCACUGAGGGAGUUGUGGAGGGAGGAAACGCUGUCUGAGUGAU